CGUUGAAGUGAUGAUAAAGUGAUUCGGAAAUUUACAAAAUGUCGAUUAUUAUAUCAGACUACAAUUAUCUGAUCAACG
Molecule: small nucleolar RNA, 78 nt
Organism: Telopea speciosissima
Lineage: Eukaryota; Viridiplantae; Streptophyta; Magnoliopsida; Proteales; Proteaceae
Product: small nucleolar RNA Z155
Exons: 1
Source: RefSeq, a predicted model, not a curated record